CAAGUUGCUAGGAAAUUCAUGCCU
This 24-nucleotide non-coding RNA is filed under the name Arabidopsis thaliana (thale cress). The record is from RNAcentral. Lineage: Eukaryota; Viridiplantae; Streptophyta; Magnoliopsida; Brassicales; Brassicaceae.